Molecule: ribosomal RNA, 1658 nt
Filed under: Escherichia coli
Lineage: Bacteria; Pseudomonadati; Pseudomonadota; Gammaproteobacteria; Enterobacterales; Enterobacteriaceae
Description: partial 23S ribosomal RNA
Rfam family: Bacterial large subunit ribosomal RNA
Source: RNAcentral
AUAAUGGGUCAGCGACUUAUAUUCUGUAGCAAGGUUAACCGAAUAGGGGAGCCGAAGGGAAACCGAGUCUUAACUGGGCGUUAAGUUGCAGGGUAUAGACCCGAAACCCGGUGAUCUAGCCAUGGGCAGGUUGAAGGUUGGGUAACACUAACUGGAGGACCGAACCGACUAAUGUUGAAAAAUUAGCGGAUGACUUGUGGCUGGGGGUGAAAGGCCAAUCAAACCGGGAGAUAGCUGGUUCUCCCCGAAAGCUAUUUAGGUAGCGCCUCGUGAAUUCAUCUCCGGGGGUAGAGCACUGUUUCGGCAAGGGGGUCAUCCCGACUUACCAACCCGAUGCAAACUGCGAAUACCGGAGAAUGUUAUCACGGGAGACACACGGCGGGUGCUAACGUCCGUCGUGAAGAGGGAAACAACCCAGACCGCCAGCUAAGGUCCCAAAGUCAUGGUUAAGUGGGAAACGAUGUGGGAAGGCCCAGACAGCCAGGAUGUUGGCUUAGAAGCAGCCAUCAUUUAAAGAAAGCGUAAUAGCUCACUGGUCGAGUCGGCCUGCGCGGAAGAUGUAACGGGGCUAAACCAUGCACCGAAGCUGCGGCAGCGACGCUUAUGCGUUGUUGGGUAGGGGAGCGUUCUGUAAGCCUGCGAAGGUGUGCUGUGAGGCAUGCUGGAGGUAUCAGAAGUGCGAAUGCUGACAUAAGUAACGAUAAAGCGGGUGAAAAGCCCGCUCGCCGGAAGACCAAGGGUUCCUGUCCAACGUUAAUCGGGGCAGGGUGAGUCGACCCCUAAGGCGAGGCCGAAAGGCGUAGUCGAUGGGAAACAGGUUAAUAUUCCUGUACUUGGUGUUACUGCGAAGGGGGGACGGAGAAGGCUAUGUUGGCCGGGCGACGGUUGUCCCGGUUUAAGCGUGUAGGCUGGUUUUCCAGGCAAAUCCGGAAAAUCAAGGCUGAGGCGUGAUGACGAGGCACUACGGUGCUGAAGCAACAAAUGCCCUGCUUCCAGGAAAAGCCUCUAAGCAUCAGGUAACAUCAAAUCGUACCCCAAACCGACACAGGUGGUCAGGUAGAGAAUACCAAGGCGCUUGAGAGAACUCGGGUGAAGGAACUAGGCAAAAUGGUGCCGUAACUUCGGGAGAAGGCACGCUGAUAUGUAGGUGAAGUCCCUCGCGGAUGGAGCUGAAAUCAGUCGAAGAUACCAGCUGGCUGCAACUGUUUAUUAAAAACACAGCACUGUGCAAACACGAAAGUGGACGUAUACGGUGUGACGCCUGCCCGGUGCCGGAAGGUUAAUUGAUGGGGUUAGCGCAAGCGAAGCUCUUGAUCGAAGCCCCGGUAAACGGCGGCCGUAACUAUAACGGUCCUAAGGUAGCGAAAUUCCUUGUCGGGUAAGUUCCGACCUGCACGAAUGGCGUAAUGAUGGCCAGGCUGUCUCCACCCGAGACUCAGUGAAAUUGAACUCGCUGUGAAGAUGCAGUGUACCCGCGGCAAGACGGAAAGACCCCGUGAACCUUUACUAUAGCUUGACACUGAACAUUGAGCCUUGAUGUGUAGGAUAGGUGGGAGGCUUUGAAGUGUGGACGCCAGUCUGCAUGGAGCCGACCUUGAAAUACCACCCUUUAAUGUUUGAUGUUCUAACGUUGACCCGUAAUCCGGGUUGCGGACAGU